CAAACGGCCCUCUUUAGGGCCACAAUUGGAUGUAAUUUUUGUUUG
Bursaphelenchus xylophilus (pine wood nematode) is the source of this 45-nucleotide non-coding RNA. The record is from Rfam. Lineage: Eukaryota; Metazoa; Nematoda; Chromadorea; Rhabditida; Aphelenchoididae.